AGCAGCCGCGGUAAUUCCAGCUCCAAUAGCGUAUAUUAAAGUUGUUGCAGUUAAAAAGCUCGUAGUUGAAUUUCGGGGUUAGUAGGUUGGUCAUGCCUCUGGUAUGUACUGGUCUCACUGAUUCCUCCUUCCUGAUGAGCCGUAAUGCCAUUAAUUUGGUGUUGCGGGGAAUUUGGACUGUUACUUUGAAAAAUUAGAGUGUUUAAAGCAAGCUAACGCUUGAAUACAUUAGCAUGGAAUAAUGAAAUAGGACGUUCGAUCCUAUUUUGUUGGUUUCUAGGAUUGACGUAAUGAUUAAUAGGGAUAGUUGGGGGCAUUAGUAUUCAAUUGUCAGAGGUGAAAUUCUUGGAUUUAUUGAAGACUAACUACUGCGAAAGCAUUUGCCAAGGAUGUUUUCAUUAAUCAAGAACGAAAGUUAGGGGAUCGAAGACGAUCAGAUACCGUCGUAGU
RNAcentral lists this ribosomal RNA (450 nucleotides) under uncultured Glomus. RNAcentral describes it as "SSU rRNA". It matches the Rfam family "Eukaryotic small subunit ribosomal RNA", at positions 569 to 1024 of the family's 1831-position model. Lineage: Eukaryota; Fungi; Glomeromycota; Glomeromycetes; Glomerales; Glomeraceae. RNAcentral also lists the same sequence under 1 other name. The record is from RNAcentral.